RNAcentral lists this ribosomal RNA (1949 nucleotides) under human gut metagenome. RNAcentral describes it as "bacterial LSU rRNA". It matches the Rfam family "Bacterial large subunit ribosomal RNA", at positions 3 to 1985 of the family's 2925-position model. The record is from RNAcentral.
UCAAGCAAAAAAGAGCGCAGGGUGGAUGCCUUGGCACUAAGAGCCGAUGAAAGACGUGAUAAGCUGCGAAAAGCUUCGGGGAGGAGCACAUAUCCAAUGAUCCGGAGAUAUCUGAAUGGGGAAACCCGGCAGAGGAAACCUCUGUCAGCGUGCAGUGAAUACAUAGCUGUACGUGGGGAACCCGGGGAACUGAAACAUCUAAGUACCCGGAGGAAGAGAAAGAAAAUUUAUCGAUUUCCAAAGUAGCGGCGAGCGAAAUGGAAAGAGCCCAAACCGUGAUGCGUGCAUCGCGGGGUUCGGACUGCGUUGUGGCAGACGUAAGAUAGGAGAACGGACUGGGAAGUCCGGCCGGAGAGAGUGAAAGCCUCGUAUCCGAAAUCCCAAGUCGCCUGGCAGGAUCCAGAGUAGGACGAGACACGAGAAACCUUGUCUGAACGAGCGGGGACCACCCCGUAAGGCUAAAUACUUCUUAGUGACCGAUAGCGCAUAGUACUGUGAAGGAAAGGUGAAAAGUACCCCGGGAGGGGAGUGAAAGAGAACCUGAAACCCUGUGUCUACAAGCUGUGGGACCUCUUUAUAUGAGGGACUGCGUACUUUUUGUAGAACGGUCCGGCGAGUUGUGCGUACUGGCGAGGUUAAGGACUUAAGGUCUGGAGCCGAAGUGAAAGCAAGCGUUAAUAGCGCGUCAAGUCAGUGAGUGCAGACCCGAAACCGGGUGACCUAUCCAUGUCCAGGUUGAAGCUUCCGUAAGAGGAAGUGGAGGACCGAACCCACAUCCGUUGAAAAGGGUGGGGAUGAGGUGUGGAUAGCGGAGAAAUUCCAAUCGAACCCGGAGAUAGCUGGUUCUCCUCGAAAUAGCUUUAGGGCUAGCCUCAAUUUAGUCUUGCGGAGGUAGAGCACUGAAUAUCCUAGGGGGCGUCAAAGCUUACCGAAGAUUAUCAAACUCCGAAUGCCGUAAAGAUGAUGAUUGGGAGUCAGACUGCACGAGAUAAGUUGGGUAGUCAAAAGGGAAACAGCCCAGACCUCCAGCUAAGGUCCCAAAGUGAGUGUUAAGUGGAAAAGGAUGUGGGAUUUCGAAGACAACUAGGAUGUUGGCUCAGAAGCAGCCAUACAUUCAAAGAGUGCGUAAUAGCUCACUAGUCGAGAGGUCCUGCGCCGAAAAUGUCCGGGGCUAAAACACGACACCGAAGCUUAGGACUCCAUUUAGGAGUGGUAGAGGAGCAUUGUUAGCGCAGCGAAGCUGUACCGAUAAGGAGCAGUGGAGUGCUAAGAAGAGAGAAUGCCGGAAUGAGUAGCGAGAGGAAGGUGAGAAUCCUUCCGGCCGAAUAUCCAAGGUUUCCAGAGUAAAGCUGAUCUGCUCUGGGUAAGUCGGGGCCUAAGGCGAGGUCGAAAGACGUAGUCGAUGGAUAACAGGUGGAGAUUCCUGUACUAUGUGUACCCAGAACUGUGGGGACGCAUGUGGAGAGCACGAGCCGGGAAAGAGAAGACCGGUACAAGCGGGGUAGGAGUAAGGACAGCAAAUCUUCCUUACAAUCCGAAGACGUAAUGUGGACCGAACCAAAGUAGGGAAGCGUGUGAGCCAUGUGCCAAGAAAAGCCGCUAUUGUGAUACACAUACCCGUACCGUAAACCGACACAGGUGGAUGAGGAGAGAAUCCUAAGGCCGACGGAAGAAGCAUUGUUAAGGAACUCGGCAAAAUGACCCCGUAACUUCGGGAGAAGGGGUGCCCUGUGAAAGCAGGGCCGCAGAGAAUAGGCUCAAGCAACUGUUUAGCAAAAACACAGGUCUAUGCGAAACCGAAAGGUGAGGUAUAUGGGCUGACGCCUGCCCGGUGCUGGAAGGUUAAGAGGAGAAGUCAGGCAACGAAGCUUCGAAUUUAAGCCCCAGUAAACGGCGGCCGUAACUAUAACGGUCCUAAGGUAGCGAAAUUCCUUGUCGGGUAAGUUCCG